UACGUAGGGUGCAAGCGUUAAUCGGAAUUACUGGGCGUAAAGCGUGCGCAGGCGGUGAUGUAAGACAGAUGUGAAAUCCCCGGGCUCAACCUGGGAACUGCAUUUGUGACUGUAGAGCUGGAGUACGGCAGAGGGGGAUGGAAUUCCGCGUGUAGCAGUGAAAUGCGUAGAUAUGCGGAGGAACACCGAUGGCGAAGGCAAUCCCCUGGGCCUGUACUGACGCUCAUGCACGAAAGCGUGGGGAGCAAACAGG
RNAcentral lists this ribosomal RNA (253 nucleotides) under uncultured bacterium. RNAcentral's name for it is "partial 16S ribosomal RNA". It matches the Rfam family "Bacterial small subunit ribosomal RNA", at positions 524 to 776 of the family's 1533-position model. The record is from RNAcentral.